AACGCGAAGAACCUUACCAGGGCUUGACAUCCCCCUGACGGAUGUAGAGAUACAUCUUCCCUUCGGGGCAGGGGAGACAGGUGGUGCAUGGUUGUCGUCAGCUCGUGUCGUGAGAUGUUGGGUUAAGUCCCGCAACGAGCGCAACCCUUGUUGUUAGUUGCCAGCAUUAAGUUGGGCACUCUAACGAGACUGCCGGUGACAAAUCGGAGGAAGGUGGGGACGACGUCAAAUCAUCAUGCCCCUUAUGUCCUGGGCUACACACGUACUACAAUGGCGACUACAGAGGGCAGCAAAGCCGUGAGGCAGAGCCAAUCCCCAAAAGUCGUCCCAGUUCGGAUUGCAGGCUGCAACCCGCCUGCAUGAAGUCGGAAUUGCUAGUAAUGGCAGGUCAGCAUACUGCCGUGAAUACGUUCCCGGGUCUUGUACACACCG
This 432-nucleotide ribosomal RNA is filed under the name uncultured bacterium. Its description in RNAcentral is "bacterial SSU rRNA". It matches the Rfam family "Bacterial small subunit ribosomal RNA", at positions 958 to 1392 of the family's 1533-position model. The record is from RNAcentral.